This 253-nucleotide ribosomal RNA is filed under the name uncultured bacterium. RNAcentral's name for it is "partial 16S ribosomal RNA". It matches the Rfam family "Bacterial small subunit ribosomal RNA", at positions 524 to 776 of the family's 1533-position model. The record is from RNAcentral.
UACGGGGGGGGUAAGCGUUGUUCGGAAUCACUGGGCGUAAAGCGCACGUAGGCGGAUUGUUAAGUCGGGGGUGAAAUCCUGAGGCUCAACCUCAGAACUGCCUCCGAUACUGGCAAUCUCGAGUUCGGAAGAGGUUGGUGGAACAGCUAGUGUAGAGGUGAAAUUCGUAGAUAUUAGCUAGAACACCAGUGGCGAAGGCGGCCAACUGGUCCGACACUGACGCUGAGGUGCGAAAGCGUGGGGAGCAAACAGG